UUUAUUGGAGAGUUUGAUCCUGGCUCAGGAUGAACGCUGGCGGCGUGCCUAAUACAUGCAAGUCGAGCGAAUGGAUUAAGAGCUUGCUCUUAUGAAGUUAGCGGCGGACGGGUGAGUAACACGUGGGUAACCUGCCCAUAAGACUGGGAUAACUCCGGGAAACCGGGGCUAAUACCGGAUAACAUUUUGAACUGCAUGGUUCGAAAUUGAAAGGCGGCUUCGGCUGUCACUUAUGGAUGGACCCGCGUCGCAUUAGCUAGUUGGUGAGGUAACGGCUCACCAAGGCAACGAUGCGUAGCCGACCUGAGAGGGUGAUCGGCCACACUGGGACUGAGACACGGCCCAGACU
This 349-nucleotide ribosomal RNA is filed under the name Bacillus cereus. RNAcentral's name for it is "bacterial SSU rRNA". It matches the Rfam family "Bacterial small subunit ribosomal RNA", at positions 1 to 337 of the family's 1533-position model. Lineage: Bacteria; Bacillati; Bacillota; Bacilli; Caryophanales; Bacillaceae. The record is from RNAcentral.